CGCGGGGUGGAGCAGCUUGGUAGCUCGUCGGGCUCAUAACCCGGAGGCCGCAGGUUCAAAUCCUGCCCCCGCCACCA
Molecule: transfer RNA, 77 nt
Filed under: Planctomycetota bacterium
Lineage: Bacteria; Pseudomonadati; Planctomycetota
Description: Planctomycetes bacterium (gut metagenome) tRNA-Met
Rfam family: tRNA
About the family: Transfer RNA (tRNA) molecules are approximately 80 nucleotides in length. Their secondary structure includes four short double-helical elements and three loops (D, anti-codon, and T loops).
Source: RNAcentral